UCCGUAGGCGGGCUAAUAAGUCAGGGGUGAAAUCCCAUAGCUUAACUGUGGAACUGCCUUUGAUACUGUUAGUCUUGAGUUAUAUGGAAGUAGAUAGAAUGUGUAGUGUAGCGGUGAAAUGCAUAGAUAUUACACAGAAUACCGAUUGCGAAGGCAGUCUACUACGUAUAUACUGACGCUAAUGGACGAAAGCGUGGGGAGCGAACAGGAUUAGAUACCCUGGUAGUCC
This 229-nucleotide ribosomal RNA is filed under the name uncultured bacterium. Its description in RNAcentral is "partial 16S ribosomal RNA". It matches the Rfam family "Bacterial small subunit ribosomal RNA", at positions 568 to 796 of the family's 1533-position model. The record is from RNAcentral.